UACGAAGGGGGCUAGCGUUGCUCGGAAUCACUGGGCGUAAAGCGCACGUAGGCGGACUCUUAAGUCGGUGGUGAAAUCCUGGAGCUCAACUCCAGAACUGCUUUCGAUACUGGGAGUCUCGAGUCCGGGAGAGGUGAGUGGAACUGCGAGUGUAGAGGUGAAAUUCGUAGAUAUUCGCAAGAACACCAGUGGCGAAGGCGGCUCACUGGCCCGGUACUGACGCUGAGGUGCGAAAGCGUGGGGAGCAAACAGG
Molecule: ribosomal RNA, 253 nt
Filed under: uncultured bacterium
Lineage: Bacteria
Description: partial 16S ribosomal RNA
Rfam family: Bacterial small subunit ribosomal RNA
Source: RNAcentral